CAAUAGCGUAUAUUAAAGUUGUUGCGGUUAAAAGCUCGUAGUUGGAUUUCUGUCGAGGGCGGCCGGUCCUUACUAUGUAAGUGCAUCUGGUUCGGUCUUGGCAUCCUCUUGGGGAUCGUUUCUGUGCUUAGUUGCAUGGUGCGGAAUUCAAGACGUUUACUUUGAGGAAAUUAGAGUGGUUACGGCAAGCUAUCGCUUUGAAUACAUUAGCAUGGAAUAAUAAUAUAGGGCGUAAGUUCUAUCUUGUUGGUUUCUAGAACAUACGCAAUGAUUAAUAGGGACAAUUGGGGGCAUUCGUAUUAACGCGUCAGAGGUGGAAUUCUUAGAUUGCGUUACGACGAACUACUGCGAAAGCAUUUGCCAAGGAUGUUUUCAUUGAUCAAGAACGAAAGUAUGGGGAUCGAAGAUGAUCAGAUACC
Molecule: ribosomal RNA, 419 nt
Filed under: uncultured eukaryote
Lineage: Eukaryota
Description: SSU rRNA
Rfam family: Eukaryotic small subunit ribosomal RNA
Source: RNAcentral